GACGAACGCUGGCGGCGUGCUUAACACAUGCAAGUCGAACGGUGAAGGGACCGGUUUUUGCUGGUUCUGGAUGAGUGGCGAACGGGUGAGUAACACGUGAGUAACCUCCCCCCUUCUUCUGGAUAACCGCAUGAAAGUGUGGCUAAUACGGGAUAUUCUGCGCCUGCUGCAUGGUGGGUUUGGGAAAGAUAUUGUUUCGGUGGGGGAUGGGCUCGCGGCCUAUCAGCUUGUUGGUGGGGUGAUGGCCUACCAAGGCGGUGACGGGUAGCCGGCCUGAGAGGGUGGACGGUCACACUGGGACUGAGACACGGCCAAGACUCCUACGGGAGGCAGCAGUGGGGAAUAUGGCACAAUGGGCGCAAGCCUGAUGCAGCGACGCCGCGUGAGGGAUGGAGGCCUUCGGGAUGUAAACCUCUUUCGCCAGUGAAGCAGGCCUGUCCCUUUUGUGGGUGGGUUGACGGUAGCUGGAUAAGAAGCGCCGGCUAACUACGUG
This 493-nucleotide ribosomal RNA is filed under the name uncultured bacterium. RNAcentral's name for it is "partial 16S ribosomal RNA". It matches the Rfam family "Bacterial small subunit ribosomal RNA", at positions 28 to 507 of the family's 1533-position model. The record is from RNAcentral.